Molecule: RNA transcript, 3265 nt
Organism: Cynara cardunculus var. scolymus (artichoke)
Lineage: Eukaryota; Viridiplantae; Streptophyta; Magnoliopsida; Asterales; Asteraceae
Gene name: pentatricopeptide repeat-containing protein At4g19440, chloroplastic
Exons: 5
Source: RefSeq, a predicted model, not a curated record
AUCAACCCAAAUUGGAAAACCCUUUGCUGAGAUAUCGUGGCCCUCUCUCAAACACACCAUAACUCAUGGCUCCAUCUUCAUCGCCGUCACCAUCGCCAACAUGAAGCUUUCCUCUAACAAUUUCAUCACCAAAAACCCUUUUCAAAUCAAAUCUGCCUCUUAAUGGAUUUACAGAGACUUAGAAUCUCCAAAUGUUCACCCUUAAAAAGGAACCCAUUUUUAUCAAUCUCCACCCAAUACAACCACUCAAAGCCACCGUCCAAACAGCCGCCAUUGCAGCUCAAGAAUCAAGAUUUGAUCAAAUGGGUAACUUCAAUUCUAUCAAACCCAUCUCUAGAUUCGUCUAAAUGUAAAGAUAUAGUCACACAUCUGUCCCCCCAGCAGUUUGAUAGUGUGUUUUCGGACAUUAGGUGUUCUGUGAAACCAAGAACCGCAUUGAACUUCUUUUAUUUUGCUUCCAAGUCUUGUGGAUUUAAAUUCACUCUAAAGACUUACUGUUUGUUGAUUCAUUUGCUUGUUGUAUCGAAACUUGCGUCCCCAGCUAGGUUGGUUUUGAUUCAGUUGAUUGAUGAUAAGCUACCUGUUUUGGUUCAUGAUCCCAAGAAUAGACAUACUGAGAUGGCCACUGCAUUCAUAGAUUUGCAACUAACAUCUGAAUCAGUUUUCGGUCUUCAGACCUUUGAUUUGUUGAUUCAUGUUUAUUGCACCCAAUUCAAAGGUUUUGGUCUUGAUCUUGCUUCGGAUGUGGUUCGAUUAAUGGCAGAAAAGGGAUUGUUUCCUUCUUUAAACACUUGCAACGUUCUCUUGAGUUCUCUUGUGAAGGCAAACCAACUUCAGAAAAGUCAAGAAAUCUUUAAAAUUAUCCAUAAAGAUGUUCGACCGGAUGUCUGUAUGUUCACCACUAUGGUUAAUGCUCUGUGUAAAGAUGGGAAGAUUAGCGAUGCUAUGAAGGUAUUAUUGGAGAUGGAGAAAAUGGGUGUUUUACCAAAUGUUGUAACUUACAACAACAUCAUUCAUGGUCUUUGCAGGAUUAGGAAUUUGGAAGAGGCUUUUCGCCUAAAAGAGAAAAUGAUUAAGAAAGGUUUAACUCCUAGUCUUAUUACAUAUAGUGUGCUUAUUAACGGUCUGUUGAAAAUGGAGAAAUACAAUGAAGCUGGUAGUGUUUUGAUGGAUAUGACCGCCAACGGUUUUGUCCCAAAUGAAGUUGUCUAUAAUACAUUAAUAGAUGGGUACUGUAAAAUGGGUGACAUGAAGAAAGCAUUGGAUGUUAGGGAUGAUAUGUUAUCGAAGGGAUUGAAUCCAAAUUCAGUUACUUUUAAUACGCUUAUUAAAGGUUUCUGCAAGACUAAUCAAAUGGAGCAGGCUGAACGGCUUUUGGAGGAAAUGCUAUCAAUUAGAUUAACCAUAAAUGUUGGUUCUUUUACUUCUGUCCUUCAUUGGCUUUGUAAGAGUUUGAAAAUGAACUCCGCACUUCGUCUUGUCAAUGAAAUGUUGUUACGAGAUUUAAGGCCAAAUGAUAGUCUAUUGACCACAAUGGUUGUUGGGCUCUGUAAGCAGGGUAAGCAUUCAGAAGCAGUUGAUCUUUGGUUUAGGCUAGUCAACAAAAGAUUUUCUCCAAAUGUAGUGACCUCAAACGCACUUAUUCAUGGUCUUUGUGAAUCUGGGAAUGUUGGGGAGGCUAUAAAGAUUCUUAAGGAGAUGCUACAAAGGGGGUUUCAUUUGGAUUCAGUUACAUAUAACACACUGAUCUCAUGGCAUUACAAAGAGGCAAGAUUUGAGGAAGGUUUCCAAUUGAGUGAAGAGAUGGCAAAGCAAGGGAUUUUACCAGAUAUUUUGACUUACACUUCGCUGAUAAAUGGGUUGUGCAAAAAGGGUAAGAUGGAUGAAGCUGUGAUGCUCUUGGAAAAGUGUAAACUUCAAGGUCUGACUCCUGAUGUUUAUACAUAUGGAGUUAUGAUUGAAGGGUUUUGUAAAGCUGAAGAAAUCCAAAAGGGAAAAGAUAUGUUUAAUGAGCUGCUCAACAAGAAAAUGGAAUUGAACUCGUUCAUCUAUAACACACUUAUUAGAGCCUAUUUGAAAAAUGGUGAUAUGGCAGAGGCCCGUAGACUUUAUAGUGACAUGAAAAGUAAAGGGAUUCGACCAACUUCCGUCACUUAUUCUUCUUUAAUACACGGAUACUGCAAUAGUGGAUGUGUUGAGGAUGCAAAGCUCAUAAUCGAUGAAAUGAGGGGGGAGGAUUUGUGGCCAGAUGUUGUUUGCUAUACUGCUCUAAUCAAUGGUUAUUGUAAGAUGGGCCAGAUGGAUAAAGUGGUAACCACUUUGCAGGAAAUGUCUUCAUACGGCAUACACUCUAACAAAAUCACGUAUACCAUUAUGAUUGAUGGGUAUUGCAAGCUCGGUCAAACAGAAGUAGCUGCUAAGCUUCUUGCUGAGAUGGAAGAAAAGGGAGUUAUACCCGAUAUUGUCACUUAUAAUGCACUUGUGAAUGGGUUUUCGAAGGAAGGGAAAAUUGAGGAAGCCCUCCGUUUAUUUGACCAUAUGUCUCAAAGAGGUGUAGAUUUAGACGAAAUAGCAUGCACUUCAUUAAUUCAUGGAUGGAGCCAGAAAGCAGCUGUUAAGAAUCACGAAUGAUCAAGGUCUCCUAAAUGGAUGAAAAGUUCUUUUAUCUUCACAGGUGAAUAAGACAUUUGACCUGUUUUGGUGAUGAUAAAUUUGCUUCGGCUCUGAGCAAUAUUCUUAUGUCUUGUAAGGUGGGAUAUAUCAAAAUGUUGAGCUUACUCCAAGAAGCAUCAGGAAAUGCUGCAGAAAAUUAUCUGAAGAGGAUUAAGCUUUCGAGGGAUGAUAUCACAGAAGCCAUGAUAUAUAAUUAGAGCCUUACUUGAAAAGGAAGGAUAUAUACAUGGACGGAAAUGCGAAAAUUAUCCCUUUUUCGGGGCUUUGGUCUUAUGAGACAGAUGAUCAAACGCUACGUCUGUUAGCUUGAAGCAUCAGAAACUGUAUUACGGACUUCCUGCUUUGCUUCCGUUCUGCUACACUGGGCUUCCACAAAACAGAGACUCUAUAUAUAUUCCUUGUUGACACAGAGAAAGAGCUUCGUUUUCCAUUCGUUUAGUAGCAGAAAGAAAGGGACACGAUUGAGCGUAUGCUAGAGGUAUCUGUUCAUGAAAAGCUCGUAGACGAUCAUGCUCAUGUUGUUACUUUAAGAUUGAAAAAAUGGAAUGUAUGUGAACACAUAUUUUGGCACACAUAAAGAUGGAUGGUUUUG